Macaca mulatta (Rhesus monkey) is the source of this 3089-nucleotide non-coding RNA. The record is from RefSeq and is a predicted model, not a curated record. Lineage: Eukaryota; Metazoa; Chordata; Mammalia; Primates; Cercopithecidae.
UGCCUUGCCUCCGUGUGAUACAGUGAUUUCACUAGCUGGAUUGAUCACUUUGGGUACUGCAACUCCUAGAGAGAAAUGGGAUGGAGGGCAUCUGAAUCUUCACCCCCUAUAGAUAAACUUGUGUUGCACCCCAAUUUUUGUGAGAUUUUAGCGUCGAAACUGGGAGAAAUAGGAAUGGCUGUAGAGGAACUUCAGUCUAUAAUAAAGAGAUGUCAAAUCCUAGAAGAGCAAGACUUUAAAGAAGAGGAUUUUGGCCUAUUUCAGUUAGCUGGGCAAAGAUGCAUAGAAGAAGGGCACAUAGACCAGCUAUUAGAAAUUAUUCAAAAUGAAAAGAAUAAGGUCAUCAUCAAGAAUAUGGGCUGGAAUCUCAUUGGUCCUGUUGUUCGAUGCCUUUUGUGUAAAGAUAAAGAGGAUGCUAAAAGAAAAGUUUGCUUUUUGAUCUUUGAUUUAUUAGUAAAGUUAUGCAAUCCAAAGGAAUUAUUGUUGGGUUUGCUUGAACUGAUUGAAGAGCCCUCUGGAAAACAGAUAUCCCAAAGUAUUCUUCUUUUGCUUCAGCCAUUACAAACAGUGAUUCAGAAACUUCAUAACAAGGCAUAUUCAAUUGGAUUAGCAUUGUCUACCCUUUGGAAUCAGCUAUCUCUUCUUCCUGUUCCAUACACAAAAGAACAAAUACAAAUGGAUGACUAUGGCCUUUGUCAGUGUUGCAAGGCCUUAAUAGAGUUCACUAAGCCUUUUGUGGAAGAAGUCAUUGAUAACAAAGAAAACUCACUGGAAAAUGAAAAGUUAAAGGAUGAAUUACUGAAAUUUUGUUUCAAAAGCUUGAAAUGCCCUUUGCUGACAGCACAAUUCCUUGAACAGUCUGAAGAAGGUGGAAAUGAUCCUUUCAGGUAUUUUGCAUCAGAAAUAAUAGGUUUUUUAUCAGCAAUUGGACACCCUUUCCCCAAAAUGAUUUUUAAUCAUGGAAGGAAAAAGAGAACUUGGAAUUACCUUGAAUUUGAAGAAGAAGAAGAUAAACAGUUAGCAGACUCAAUGGCUUCUCUGGCAUAUCUAGUAUUUGUACAGGGCAUCCGUAUUGAUCAGCUUCCAAUGGUCUUAAGCCCAUUGUACCUUUUGCAGUUUAAUAUGGGGCAUAUUGAAGUCUUUUUGCAAAGAACAGAAGAGUCUGUUAUCUCCAAAGGAUUGGAGCUGCUGGAGAAUAGUUUAUUGAGAAUAGAAGACAGUAGUCUACUUUACCAGUACUUAGAAAUCAAGAGUUUUCUUACUGUACCUCAGGGCUUAGUGAAAGUAAUGACACUUUGUCCCAUUGAGACACUGAGGAAAAAGAGUUUAGCUAUGCUUCAGCUGUAUAUUAACAAGUUGGAUUCACAAGGCAAAUAUACAUUAUUUAGGUGCUUAUUGAAUACAAGUAAUCACUCAGGUGUGGAGGCUUUUAUUAUUCAAAAUAUCAAAAAUCAAAUUGACAUGUCAUUAAAGAGAACACAUAACAACAAGUGGUUUACAGGACCACAGUUGGUUUCCCUUCUUGAUUUGGUACUUUUUCUUCCAGAGGGUGCAGAAACAGAUUUACUGCAAAACUCAGAUAGGAUUAUGGCUUCAUUAAAUUUAUUGAGGUAUUUGGUUAUCAAAGAUAAUGAAAAUGACAAUCAAGUAAGUGGAGUAUUUGAAAAGAAACUACUGGAUUAUGGACAGAACUUGGAAAUAUUGAGAAUAAUUUCUUAAAGCCACUUCAUAUAGGACUUAAUAUGUCAAAAGCACAUUAUGAAGCAGAAAUUAAAAAUAGCCAAGAGGCCCAGAAAUCUAAAGAUCUUUGUUCUAUAACUGUAGGUGGAGAAGAGAUCCCUAAUAUGCCUCCUGAAAUGCAGCUUAAGGUCCUACAUUCAGCUCUUUUCACAUUUGAUUUGAUUGAAAGUGUUCUAGCUCGAGUGGAAGAACUCAUUGAAAUAAAAACAAAGUCUACCUCUGAAGAAAAUAUUGGGAUAAAGUAAAGUUCUACUUCCUAAAUAAAAACUAAUAAAAUAGAGUAAAAACUAAUAAAAUAGAGUAUUUUCCAUUAUGAUUUAUUUAAUACCAUUAUAAAAUUUUUCUGCAAAAAUUUACUGCUUGAAAAAUAAAUGUAGCUUCUCUCAUUUAUCAAUUUCUAUAAUGAUAUACUAUAGAACAGUUUUUUUGUUGUUUUAAAGUUAUCUAAUGGUAAAUAAUGCCCACAUAUGUCCUAAAUACUAUUUUUGAAAAUCCAAUACAAACUAAUAAUUUUGUAACUUCAUAAAAUGUAAUUGAAUUGUCUAUAUUCAUUCCUACAGUUUUAGUGAGCUUAUAAAAAUAGUGAUACAUUUUCUGCUGAAGUUAGAUGCUAUGUAACAUUUCGGAACUCCUAGUGUCAAGUUGGCUAUCACACCAGUGUAAAUGAGUAGAAAGUUUUGAAUUCAGGCCAGUUGACUUUUUUCUUAGCUUCUCUUUUCCUGGCUUAGGUGGAGUCUUUGGGAGCAGAGUCCCAUCACCACCUCUCCAGCAGAAGUUAUAAUAGGAAAACAUCUGCAAAGAUUAGUUUUAGAAAUACUUGCUACCUUUAUGGAAAAAAAACUAAAAAAUACAUAUGAUUUGAAGAAACUGAUUAGAAAAUUAUGUAUUUUUAUUUCCUACUAAAUACUUGUCCAUCUAAGAAGCUACACCUGAGUUUUAUGAUAUAUGUAUGUACCAAUCCUUUGCUAAACAGCGUUAAAUCUCACAGCGAAACUCCUAAAAUAAAAUCUUUUAAUUGUAUACAUGCUAUUUCAAAUUAAUAUGUCUUUAAAUAGAUAUUUGAUUAUAAUUUAACAGUUCUAAUUAUUUUCACAUUCUUUGAGAAGAGCAUUAAGUUGGUACUCUAAUUUGGGUUAACUGAAUCACUAUUCAGUUGUAUCUUCUGAAGUGUUUUCCAAACAGGACUUUGCUCAAUGAUGUAAGCUUUAGCUGUUAUCAUUCUGUAGCAAAUGCUAUCUAUGUAUGGUUUGGAGGUAGUCUGGAAGAAGAUACAAAGAUGCAGCAUUAUUUACAGAAAUAAGAUACUUUUACAGGGUCACAUUUAAAAAUAAAUAACUUUCAUUCUUUCA